CCUACGGGGGGCUGCAGUGGGGAAUAUUGCACAAUGGGCGCAAGCCUGAUGCAGCCAUGCCGCGUGUGUGAAGAAGGCCUUCGGGUUGUAAAGCACUUUCAGCGGGGAGGAAGGCGUUAAGGUUAAUAACCUUGUCGAUUGACGUUACCCGCAGAAGAAGCACCGGCUAACUCCGUGCCAGCAGCCGCGGUAAUACGGAGGGUGCAAGCGUUAAUCGGAAUUACUGGGCGUAAAGCGCACGCAGGCGGUCUGUCAAGUCGGAUGUGAAAUCCCCGGGCUCAACCUGGGAACUGCAUUCGAAACGGGCAGGCUAGAGUCUUGUAGAGGGGGGUAGAAUUCCAGGUGUAGCGGUGAAAUGCGUAGAGAUCUGGAGGAAUACCGGUGGCGAAGGCGGCCCCCUGGACAAAGACUGACGCUCAGGUGCGAAAGCGUGGGGAGCAAACAGGAUUAGAUACCCGGGUAGUC
RNAcentral lists this ribosomal RNA (465 nucleotides) under uncultured Klebsiella sp. RNAcentral's name for it is "bacterial SSU rRNA". It matches the Rfam family "Bacterial small subunit ribosomal RNA", at positions 338 to 795 of the family's 1533-position model. The record is from RNAcentral. Lineage: Bacteria; Pseudomonadati; Pseudomonadota; Gammaproteobacteria; Enterobacterales; Enterobacteriaceae.